GAGAUCUCUACCUGCCUGAGGCCUUCAAAAGCAAGAGAAGGACACUUGGUAAACAGGAAUCAGAGCAGAACUGGGAGAUGACAGCCUGUCCUCCACCUUCCCACCUCUCCGUAGAAAUGAACCUGGCUUGGUGUGAGCAUGAUGCACAGUGCAUAUAGGCUGUAGUUACUGCACACAUCAGCAGUGGAACAGCAGCACUGCUGUGCCCUGCAGCCCUGUGGCUCCUGAACAUCUCCUGAAGCUGAUGGAAUGAAUCCAGGGGAAGGCAUGAAGAUUCUUGGAGGCUGCAGCACCUCCACUGUGGAGCGAAUAGAAGGCCCUGGGGAGACCUCACUGUGGACUUUUGAGAUCUUUGAACCAUGUUACCACAAGUUGUGCUGCAGAUAGACUCCAACGUUCCUGAUAGCAAGCAGGAACCGACCCAGCUCUGCUUUGCUGCAGCAAGGAGGGCAGGGCACAGAGGCUAAGGAUGUUUCAUGGUGAAAACAAAGACUUUUGUAAGUGUGUACUGUUAGCCAAAGCAAGCACUGGUUGGAAUCACAGAUGAUCUGCUGACCCUGGGGUACUACAGAAAGCAGUGGCUGCUGAGCAGAACUUCAGCCCUAAUGUUGGCUGGACAGAUCUCACAGCCACCACCUGCAUCCUGCUAUGGAACAUUGGUGGGACAGCCAGCCCUCCUUGUUGUGAAUAACUGUUUUCCUGGUCAUCAGCUUCCGAGCAGGGGUGCCGUUGGAAUUUAUUUGCACAGAGCACUGGGAGUCACUGUGUACCCCCUCAGGCAGGGGUAGCAUUACUGUGCCUUCUGGCUCAUGGCUGGGAGAGCUGCAGCUAAAAAUGUGUCGGGUUCGUGGUUCCACCCACAAACCAGAAAUCACCAAACCUGUAUUAUUUUUGAAUCCCCUGCUUUUGAGGGCUGGUGGAAAUAAGAUAUCUUGCUUCUGACUUCCAAGCAAUAAAGAGGUGAAUCACUACUGAGCAAAGCCUCUGCUGGACCACCCAGUCGCUCUGUGCAAAGCUGUAAAGCGAUCCUCAGCAGAAGUGGCAAAGUGGAGACCGAUUUUCUUGAUAUUACUGUGAUUGUGUGAGGCAAAUCAAAUGGGAAAUAAAGCAUCGGGGCUCGCUAACAAAGUGGCUAACUGAGAAGUGUGCUAAUGAAUGCAGGCUGAUUAACAUGCAUUGAACUGAAAGCUAAACUGCGUACGGGUCACAGGGGGAACGCAGAGCUUAUUUACUCUUCUGAGUACAACAUGUUAUGUUCAAGACCCAACAUGUGCGGGUAAUUCAGAUUUAAAUGCUUUCUUCCUCCUCGUAGUCCUGGAUAAUUAUCCAACUCAGGAUAAAUAAGUUAAUUUAUUUUUGUUUUUACUAAAUAAUGGU
Long non-coding RNA from Lagopus leucura (white-tailed ptarmigan), 1377 nucleotides. RefSeq lists it as uncharacterized. Lineage: Eukaryota; Metazoa; Chordata; Aves; Galliformes; Phasianidae. The record is from RefSeq and is a predicted model, not a curated record. The transcript has 3 exons.